UCUACAGGAGAACCGAGAGCAAACUCCGAAAGCGAGAGCAUGGUCCCCUGUUCUUUUUCUUCGACUUGCCGGCGAUAGCGCCACCCGCGGCGGCCUCACUGAGGGAAGCUGGGGAAGCCCGCUGCGGGUGCUGGUGUUGGGGCCACAGCAGCCUCACGCUCCUCCUCCGCGCGUGUCGUCGUCGAAUCCACCGCCACGCCGACCCGCACCCGGCCGCUCGCCAACCCUCGCACCCACCGAUCCCCGCGUGGCCGCACCGAGGCGCCGACCUGGUGACCCACGCCUGCAAGCCACCAAAAAUUGCAGCGCGGAGGAAAGCCAAGGCCGCCGGUCCCUUCCCUUUGCCACCCGCCGCUGGAUCCUCCACCCGCAGCUUCCCCCAGUCUACCGCGGCGCUGGUCCGGAGGAGCAGGGAUCCACCCGUUCGGAGGUGGACUGGCUCACUCUCUUGUGCUGGUGGUUCUUCUUCCUCUUCGGCCCUUGAGAUCGGCAGCAGUUGACAGCAACGGACGAGCUGUGAGGUCCUGGAUCCUCGAGCCCCUGAGAGAUAGCACCCUGGAGCUCUUCGUGCUCGUCGCUGUGUGGAUUGCCAGCAAGAUCCAUGAUGUAAGGCCGCUUUCGGUGAAGAGCCUCAAGGCGCUGGGACAUUUGGUGCUCAUGGAGGAUUAGUAGUAUCUGCUCUGUUGAUUAUUAGUGAAUGUACAUGCGUAUGUGGAUUGCAGGACAACCUUCCAUUUCUCUCUGCAAUGCUUACUUGUAGCUGAUGAGUACCGCCGGCGUAGCUAGCAGCCGCGGUGGGCUCUAAUUUUUUUAGUUAGUACAUAUGGUUUUAAAUUACGAGUUGUCUGUACUUUUUCUAAGUUGAUAGAUGGCUCGAAAUAUUGAGCAGUAAAAUAUAAGGAUCUGUACAGACUGUUUGUUCUGAGCCGUCUGUAUAAAUAUUUUAUACAUA
Long non-coding RNA from Phragmites australis (common reed), 952 nucleotides. RefSeq lists it as uncharacterized. The record is from RefSeq and is a predicted model, not a curated record. Lineage: Eukaryota; Viridiplantae; Streptophyta; Magnoliopsida; Poales; Poaceae. The transcript has 3 exons.